UGGGGAAUUUUGGACAAUGGGCGCAAGCCUGAUCCAGCCAUGCCGCGUGUGUGAAGAAGGCCUUCGGGUUGUAAAGCACUUUCGGCCGGAACGAAAUCGCCUCCGUUAAUAGCGGGGGUGGAUGACGGUACCGGAAGAAGAAGCACCGGCUAACUACGUGCCAGCAGCCGCGGUAAUACGUAGGGUGCGAGCGUUAAUCGGAAUUACUGGGCGUAAAGGGUGCGCAGGCGGUUGCGCAAGUCAGGCGUGAAAUCCCCGGGCUUAACCUGGGAAUGGCGCUUGAAACUACGUGACUGGAGUAUGGCAGAGGGAGGUGGAAUUCCACGUGUAGCGGUGAAAUGCGUAGAGAUGUGGAGGAACACCGAUGGCGAAGGCAGCCUCCUGGGCCAAUACUGACGCUCAUGCACGAAAGCGUGGGGAGCAAACAGGAUUAGAUACCCCUGUAGUCCCUGAGCGGGCUGGCAAGGCGCAU
RNAcentral lists this ribosomal RNA (472 nucleotides) under uncultured bacterium. RNAcentral describes it as "bacterial SSU rRNA". It matches the Rfam family "Bacterial small subunit ribosomal RNA", at positions 355 to 825 of the family's 1533-position model. The record is from RNAcentral.